Molecule: ribosomal RNA, 254 nt
Filed under: uncultured bacterium
Lineage: Bacteria
Description: partial 16S ribosomal RNA
Rfam family: Bacterial small subunit ribosomal RNA
Source: RNAcentral
GACGUAGGGCGCGAGCGUUGUCCGGAUUUAUUGGGCGUAAAGAGCUCGUAGGCGGCUUGUCGCGUCGACUGUGAAAACCCGCGGCUCAACCGUGUGGUCUGCAGUCGAUACGGGCAGGCUGGAGUUCGGUAGGGGAGACUGGAACUCCUGGUGUAGCGGUGAAAUGCGCAGAUAUCAGGAGGAACACCGGUGGCGAAGGCGGCUUCCUGGACAAAAACUGACGCUGAGGCGCGAAAGCUAGGGGAGCAAACAGG